RNAcentral lists this ribosomal RNA (497 nucleotides) under uncultured Glomus. RNAcentral's name for it is "SSU rRNA". It matches the Rfam family "Eukaryotic small subunit ribosomal RNA", at positions 569 to 1070 of the family's 1831-position model. The record is from RNAcentral. Lineage: Eukaryota; Fungi; Glomeromycota; Glomeromycetes; Glomerales; Glomeraceae.
AGCAGCCGCGGUAAUUCCAGCUCCGAUAGCGUAUAUUAAAGUUGUUGCAGUUAAAAAGCUCGUAGUUGAAUUUCGGGAUCAAUAUGUCGGUCGUGCCUUCGGUACGUACUGGUAUCAUUGGUCUCUCCUUUCUGACGAACCAUGAUGUCAUUAAUUUGGUGUUAUGGGGAGUUAGGACUGUUACUUUGAAAAAAUUAGAGUGUUUAAAGCAGGCUUUAGCUUGAAUACAUUAGCAUGGAAUAAUGAAAUAGGACGUUCGAACCUAUUUUGUUGGUUUCUAGGAUCAACGUAAUGAUUAAUAGGGAUAGUUGGGGGCAUUAGUAUUCAAUUGUCAGAGGUGAAAUUCUUGGAUUUAUUGAAGACUAACUACUGCGAAAGCAUUUGCCAAGGAUGUUUUCAUUAAUCAAGAACGAAAGUUAGGGGAUCGAAGACGAUCAGAUACCGUCGUAGUCUUAACCAUAAACUAUGCCGACUAGGGACCGGAUGAUGUUAAUUUU